This 428-nucleotide ribosomal RNA is filed under the name Chloroflexota bacterium. RNAcentral's name for it is "Chloroflexi bacterium partial 16S ribosomal RNA". It matches the Rfam family "Bacterial small subunit ribosomal RNA", at positions 355 to 776 of the family's 1533-position model. The record is from RNAcentral. Lineage: Bacteria; Bacillati; Chloroflexota.
UGGGGAAUAUUGCACAAUGGGCGCAAGCCUGAUGCAGCCAUGCCGCGUGUAUGAAGAAGGCCUUCGGGUUGUAAAGUACUUUCAGCGGGGAGGAAGGGAGUAAAGUUAAUACCUUUGCUCAUUGACGUUACCCGCAGAAGAAGCACCGGCUAACUCCGUGCCAGCAGCCGCGGUAAUACGGAGGGUGCAAGCGUUAAUCGGAAUUACUGGGCGUAAAGCGCACGCAGGCGGUUUGUUAAGUCAGAUGUGAAAUCCCCGGGCUCAACCUGGAAACUGCUCUGGAUCUGGGCAAGCUUGGGCUCCGUGGGGGGGGUAGAAUUCCAGGUGUAGCGGUGAAAUGCGUAGAGAUCUGGAGGAAUACCGGUGGCGAAGGCGGCCCCCUGGACGAAGACUGACGCUCAGGUGCGAAAGCGUGGGGAGCAAACAGG